RNAcentral lists this ribosomal RNA (584 nucleotides) under uncultured Ascomycota. RNAcentral describes it as "partial 18S ribosomal RNA". The stretch from base 213 to 366 matches the Rfam family "5.8S ribosomal RNA". The record is from RNAcentral. Lineage: Eukaryota; Fungi; Ascomycota.
GGAAGUAAAAGUCGUAAACAAGGUUUCCGUAGGUGAACCUGCGGAAGGACCAUUACAGAAAUAGGAGAAGGUUGCUUAACUGCAAUCCUUUUCUUUCUACACAUGUGUUUCUCUUUUUUUUGAAAACUUUGCUUUGGUGGGCCCACGGCCUGCCAGAGAUUAAACUCAACCAAAUUUUUAUUUAAUUGUCAACUUGAUUAACUAAUAGUCAAAACUUUCAACAACGGAUCUCUUGGUUCUCGCAUCGAUGAAGAACGCAGCGAAAUGCGAUAAGUAAUAUGAAUUGCAGAUAUUCGUGAAUCAUCGAGUCUUUGAACGCACAUUGCGCCCUUUGGUAUUCCAAGGGGCAUGCCUGUUUGAGCGUCAUUUCUCCCUCAAACCUUCGGGUUUGGUGUUGAGCGAUACGCUGGGUUUGCUUGAAAGAAAGGCGGAGUAUAAACUAAUGGAUAGGUUUUUUUUCCACUCAUUGGUACAAACUCCAAACAUUCUUCCAAAUUCGACCUCAAAUCAGGUAGGACUACCCGCUGAACUUAAGCAUAUCAACAAGCGGAGGAAAAGAAACCAACAGGGAUUGCCUUAGUAAC